GCGUUCGUGUUGUAAUGGUUAGCAUGGAUGCCUUCUAAGCAUUCGUCGGGUAUUCGAUUCCUACCAAACGCA
Non-coding RNA from Necator americanus (New World hookworm), 72 nucleotides. The record is from Rfam. NCBI's taxonomy places the organism in Eukaryota, Metazoa, Nematoda, Chromadorea, Rhabditida, Ancylostomatidae.